This is a long non-coding RNA of Amphimedon queenslandica, 436 nucleotides long. RefSeq lists it as uncharacterized. Lineage: Eukaryota; Metazoa; Porifera; Demospongiae; Haplosclerida; Niphatidae. The record is from RefSeq and is a predicted model, not a curated record. The transcript has 3 exons.
UAAGAGAAAGAUCAGUAAAUUUUGUUCUAAAAAAUAUCAUUGAAUUAUUUUGUACUUAUGUUGUCUACAUGGUACAUACUAAUAACUACAUGUAUGAUGGAUGGAUGAAUCAUAAUGAUUAGAUCUAUGAAACCUUAUGCCAUAUAAAACCACAAACCUUAUUAUCAUGUAGUCUUUAGUUGGUCACUGGUUCUGUUUGGAGUGUGUCAGUCCAAAAAUGUCAGCUAAUUAAGUUAUAUAAAUAUUAUUUGAAUGGUGAGUCAGACAAGAUGAUGCAGUUGAUUAAUGGAAGGAAAACUUAAAUUUAAACUGUAAACACACUGGAAAACUCUUUUGUACACUAUUGUUAUUGCUAGUCAUAAAGGGAAGGACAUGCAUGCACACAGAAAUAGUGAAGAUUCUUCUUGAAAAUGGUAAACUGAGAACGCCUAGAGAG